UACAGAGGGUGCGAGCGUUAAUCGGAAUUACUGGGCGUAAAGGGUGCGUAGGUGGUUGAAUAAGUUAGGUGUGAAAUUCCUGGGCUUAACCUGGGGACUGCGCCUAAUACUGUUUAGCUAGAGUAUUGUAGAGGAAAGUGGAAUUUCCGGUGUAGCGGUGAAAUGCGUAGAUAUCGGAAGGAACAUCAGUGGCGAAGGCGACUUUCUGGACAAAUACUGACACUGAGGCACGAAAGCAUGGGGAGCAAAC
RNAcentral lists this ribosomal RNA (250 nucleotides) under uncultured bacterium. Its description in RNAcentral is "partial 16S ribosomal RNA". It matches the Rfam family "Bacterial small subunit ribosomal RNA", at positions 524 to 773 of the family's 1533-position model. The record is from RNAcentral.